GCAUAUCAAUAAGCGGAGGAAAAGAAACCAACAGGGAUUGCCCUAGUAACGGCGAGUGAAGCGGCAACAGCUCAAAUUUGAAAUCUGGCUCUUUCAGGGUCCGAGUUGUAAUUUGCAGAGGGCGCUUUGGCUUUGGCAGCGGUCCAAGUUCCUUGGAACAGGACGUCACAGAGGGUGAGAAUCCCGUACGUGGUCGCUAGCUAUUGCCGUGUAAAGCCCCUUCGACGAGUCGAGUUGUUUGGGAAUGCAGCUCUAAAUGGGAGGUAAAUUUCUUCUAAAGCUAAAUACUGGCCAGAGACCGAUAGCGCACAAGUAGAGUGAUCGAAAGAUGAAAAGCACUUUGGAAAGAGAGUCAAACAGCACGUGAAAUUGUUGAAAGGGAAGCGCUUGCAGCCAGACUUGCUUGCAGUUGCUCAUCCGGGCUUUUGCCCGGUGCACUCUUCUGCAGGCAGGCCAGCAUCAGUUUGGGCGGUGGGAUAAAGGUCUCUGUCACGUACCUCUCUUCGGGGAGGCCUUAUAGGGGAGACGACAUACCACCAGCCUGGACUGAGGUCCGCGCAUUCGCUAGGAUGCUGGCGUAAUGGCUGUAAGCGGCCCGUCUUGAAACACGGACCAAGGAGUCUAACAUCUAUGCGAGUGUUUGGGUGUCAAGCCCGAACGCGUAAUGAAAGUGAACGGAGGUGGGAACCCGCAAGGGUGCACCAUCGACCGAUCCUGAUGUCUUCGGAAGGAUUUGAGUAAGAGCAUGGCUGUUGGGACCCGAAAGAUGGUGAACUAUGCUUGAAUAGGGUGAAGCCAGAGGAAACUCUGGUGGAGGCUCGCAGCGGUUCUGACGUGCAAAUCGAUCGUCAAAUUUGGGGCAUAGGGGGCGAAAGACUAAUCGAACUAUCUAGUAGCUGGGUUCCUGCCGA
Molecule: ribosomal RNA, 911 nt
Filed under: Pyrenophora lolii
Lineage: Eukaryota; Fungi; Ascomycota; Dothideomycetes; Pleosporales; Pleosporaceae
Description: LSU rRNA
Rfam family: Eukaryotic large subunit ribosomal RNA
Source: RNAcentral